RNAcentral lists this ribosomal RNA (429 nucleotides) under Pseudomonadota bacterium. RNAcentral describes it as "Proteobacteria bacterium partial 16S ribosomal RNA". It matches the Rfam family "Bacterial small subunit ribosomal RNA", at positions 355 to 776 of the family's 1533-position model. Lineage: Bacteria; Pseudomonadati; Pseudomonadota. The record is from RNAcentral.
UGGGGAAUAUUGGACAAUGGGCGAAAGCCUGAUCCAGCCAUGCCGCGUGUGUGAAGAAGGUCUUCGGAUUGUAAAGCACUUUAAGUUGGGAGGAAGGGCAGUAAGCGAAUACCUUGCUGUUUUGACGUUACCGACAGAAUAAGCACCGGCUAACUCUGUGCCAGCAGCCGCGGUAAUACAGAGGGUGCAAGCGUUAAUCGGAAUUACUGGGCGUAAAGCGAGCGUAGGUGGUUCGUUAAGUUGAAUGUGAAAGCCCCGGGCUCAACCUGGGAACUGCAUCCAAAACUGGCGAGCUAGAGUAGGGCAGAGGGUGGUGGAAUUACCUGUGUAGCGGUGAAAUGCGUAGAUAUAGAAAGGAACACCAGUGGCGAAGGCGACCACCUGAGCUCAUACUGACACUGAGGUGCGAAAGCGUGGGGAGCAAACAGG